RNAcentral lists this long non-coding RNA (1074 nucleotides) under Sus scrofa (pig). Its description in RNAcentral is "lncRNA (ENSSSCG00015076214.1)". Lineage: Eukaryota; Metazoa; Chordata; Mammalia; Artiodactyla; Suidae. The record is from RNAcentral.
GGGUCUCCCGUCCGUGCGGCGGGGGAGGCGUGUUACGGCGAAAGGAGGGAUUUUUGCGGAGAGGAAGGAGCGGGGAGUAACCCGCAGCUUCACAGGACUGGACGCCGGGAACCGUCAGCCUCCUCCCGUCUUUUCUUCUUUCUGGACCUGGCGGGACCUCUCGAUUGACAGUCGAGGGUCCGAACCGGCAGACAGACGCGCCGUGCGGGGACCGUAGACUACAAGGCGGGGGAGGCCAUGAUUCCUGCGGGCGGGCCGUGGAUCUGGGGCCUCGGCCGCCACCCAGACCCACGCCCAAUCCUUCGGCGCUUCUCGAAGCUCCCGCGGCAGUUUCGGUCUUUGGGGGCUGCCCCAGUUGAGAGCGCCUGCCGGAAGGGGCUGCCUCCCUGGAUGGGGGCAAAAUUCGCAUUUCUCCGCUAACUGUUCAAGGAGAAAAAGGAGAAAAUUUUUCUUUUUCAAUCACCCCUGUGGCAUGUGGAGGUUCCUGGGCCAGGGAUCGAAUCUGAGCUACAACUGCAGCAAUGCCAGAUCCUUAACCCCUGUGCCAGACCAGAAAUUAAACCUGUGCCCCAGAGCUCCAGAGACGCCAACGAUCCCAUUGUGCCACCGUGGGAACCCCAAGCACUUGCUUUUCUACGUUUGAGUAGCGGUAAAAGUCCCCUUCCGUCCAGGAACCUUCCCGGGAAUGACAAAUAACAGCAGGAAAGCACGGUUGUGCCACUUUGUAUUCUUGCAACAGUUCCACCUCAGAGAGCAAUGAAAGCUACAACUACAAUGUACGGAACAGGAACUCAGGACCGUACAUUGUGUUUCACAACUGUUGCUGCCUUUGGUCUCACACUUGAUUGUCUCCAGCUCAGGCUUCAGGAUGAGAAGCUUGAAUCUGGAGGUGCUGACUUUUCCCCUCAUCGCAGUGUUCCUGAGACCAUCCAAGCUGUUGCGUGUAUCAGUACAUCUUUCCUUGUCUUCCCUGACUCAUAGUCCAUGCUCAGGAUGUACCACAGUUUGUUCAAGCAAGAGGGACAUUUUGGCUUGCUCCCAAGUUUUUGUCUGUUGCAAAUAAAGUUUCUGUGA